Molecule: ribosomal RNA, 292 nt
Filed under: uncultured bacterium
Lineage: Bacteria
Description: partial 16S ribosomal RNA
Rfam family: Bacterial small subunit ribosomal RNA
Source: RNAcentral
GUGCCAGCAGCCGCGGUAAUACGUAGGGUGCGAGCGUUAAUCGGAAUUACUGGGCGUAAAGCGUGCGCAGGCGGUUAUUUAAGCUUGCUGUGAAAGCCCCGGGCUUAACCCGGGAAUGGCAGUGAGGACUGGAUGACUGGAGUGUGGCAGAGGGGGGUGGAAUUCCACGUGUAGCAGUGAAAUGCGUAGAGAUGUGGAGGAACACCGAUGGCGAAGGCAGCCCCCUGGGCUAACACUGACGCUCAGGCACGAAAGCGUGGGGAGCAAACAGGAUUAGAAACCCCUGUAGUCC